Molecule: long non-coding RNA, 2494 nt
Organism: Corticium candelabrum
Lineage: Eukaryota; Metazoa; Porifera; Homoscleromorpha; Homosclerophorida; Plakinidae
Exons: 2
Source: RefSeq, a predicted model, not a curated record
GCUGUGUAAUUAUUCACCUCCGGUCAAUCUGUCUAUCUUGUACUAGGCUUUUAGUUCUCGUGUUUCAUUAACCCUAGGCGGAGCGAGAGUUACAGUAGUCGUCUUACCGGAAGUGGCGAACGACCUACUCGACGGAAAUACCAACUCGACAGAAACAGAGUUGGAGGAAACAGAAAACCGACGUUUGGCGAGUAUACAUAUAUAUGAACAUGAAUCAUCAUGAUCAUUAUUGGGGUAGACUGAAGAAAGAGAUACCUUUAAUUAAGGCCAAAUUACACUCAGAGAUCCUCUACAAGGAUUGGUCAAACCAGUUCUGACAGGGAUAUUCUGUGUCAUUGGAGAGAGCAUUUUGCUGCUGUGGCUAAUAGUGAGCCUUCUCAGAGGAGAAAAAAGAGCGAAUGAAGUUUGAAACGGUGAUACGAAAGCAAAUGGGUGGACCCAAUCUUCAUGGCGGUGUGUUGAUAUCAAACUUGUUGAGGUUGUAGAGCUGUCCGGCAUCUUAAAGGUGUAGGGUCACCGUCGAACAUGCGCACUUGAUUUCAAGCCGAUUUUAAGUGAGGUAGCUUUUGCGCGUAGCAAUUAUACUUAACAUCUGUUCAAGUGUUCUGGCAAAAUCAGUUUCGAUCACCAGUAAGCUCUUCAAAUGCUGUAAAUAUGUUGCGCAUUCGCAAGGGUCAAUAGAUGAAAGUAUUGCGAACUGGCUAUUUAGGUGUUGAGUGACGAGCAUGGCAGCAGCGUAGGCUUUAAACAAUACAAAUUUUCGGUGCUCACUGUGAACUGAGUGCCUAUGGUUACUCUGAGACUCAGUGAGAGAAAGACGUGACCAAGGCAGAUGCAACAUACCGGAAGGUGACCUGUGCUUUCUGGUCACGUCCAGAGUGUAAGGAACUCCGAUCUGGCUCUAAGUACAAGGAUGCUUGUCGAAUUUUACCAAAACUGCAGUGUAGCAACCUCAGUUUGAGGUUUUAGAAGAAGAAUUUUGAAAAGUACAUCUAGAAAGCCUAGAAUUUCGCUACCAGAGUCACGGUCUAACGCAAUCUCAUACUGCAACGUCUUGAUCGUUCUAAUUCAGGCUAUACAGAGGCUUCAGACUGCUUUGCCUUCAGUGCAAAUUAGAGAGCGUCUAAGUCCUCACGGUUACUGAGUGUUUGAAAAAGUGUACCCUUUUCAAAGGGAUGCAGUGCACAUGUUUGACCGUGACCCUGCAUCUUUAAGAUGCAAAAGGCGACAGGUUUAUGUGGUAUCCAACCGGAGCAUAUUAAUUAAGGUAGAGGUACUUCGUUGGUCAUAGUCUCUAUCAUCAAAGAUAGAUGUGGAGAUAUUACGGACGUGAAUAACUAUUGAGGCGUUGCUGUAUCUUCAGUGCUAUCUACGGUAUUAGAGUUAUUUUUGUUGGAUUGGAUAGAGAGCUUGUUAGUAACUAGUUCUAGGGAGCAACAAUUUGGUUUCAAGCAUAAACGCAGUUGUGCAGAUUUCUCAUUUGUGCUUAGAAGUGGGGUCGACUAUUAUCUGAAGAGGGGAAAUGCUAAGGUUUUUGUAUGAGCUCUGGAUUUAUCUAAAGCCUAUGAUAGAGUGCCGUACUACAAUCUUUUUAUCAAGUUAUUGGAAAUGGGAGUGCCAGUGUAUGUUGUAAGGCUGUUGUCGGUAUGGUGAAACAGACCAUGCAAGUCAAGUGGAAAACCCAACUGUCAGACAAGUUUACUGUUGGUAACGGUGUCCGACAACGAAAUGUUCUUUCUCCGCCCUUCUUUAAUAUGUAUAUUGAAAAUUUACUGAUAAGCCUAAAGAAUUGUGGAUAUGGUGCUAGGGUAGGUCCUGCAUUUGUUGGCUGCCCGGCUUAGGCUGAUGAUGUAACUUUGAUUUUCCCUGCUGUGAAGGAAACACAGGGGAUGCUUGACACGUGUGUACGUCAUUUGCAACUGAGAAGGGAUUGCUGUUGAACAGCAAGGAAAGCUUUGUAACUUUGUUCGUCAGGAAUCGGAAGAUCUCACAUUUUGAUCCCCAGUUGAUGGUUGCAUUGUUCCAUUCAAAUCAAACAUAUCACACUUAGGCGUGAGUAUGGAUUCAUUUCUACAACCUCAACAUAUGGUAGAGGCCAGAAUUAGAAAAUUCUUUGGAGCGGUGAAUGCGGUUCUGGGACAAAUUGGUGAUGUGUAGAUCUGACAAAGCAUGGCUAAAACUCUUUCCGGCACUGUCAUUUGGCUCUCAUCUGUGGGAUUAUGACAGAUCUGAUGUAUCAUACAUGGUUAAUUAAUCAAGCAUUUCAAAGGGUGUCAGACGAGGGCUUGCGAUGAGGAAGUGUGAAUCAGUUCAUAAUUGACUGAAGGAUGGUUUUCAAGAAGCUAUGACAAGGGCUAAGGACAUGAAGCUAAAAUAUUUACAAAGAGCAGGACAGUCGGUUAAUUAAUGUAGUAAGAAGUAUAUUUAUAUUAACUGUAGAUAAAAAGUUGCAUGUAGGAAUGGUGUAGAUAUAUUGUAGUUUGUGCUGUCUGUA